CGGGGGAGGCCGGAUACUGGGCUGUGUCCCGGCGCCCUGUGCUCCCAGUUUGCGCUGUUGGAUUCGCGCUCCCGGCCGCAGCCCCUU
This 87-nucleotide microRNA precursor is filed under the name Canis lupus familiaris (dog). RNAcentral describes it as "mir-8799 microRNA precursor family". It matches the Rfam family "mir-8799 microRNA precursor family". The record is from Rfam by way of RNAcentral. Lineage: Eukaryota; Metazoa; Chordata; Mammalia; Carnivora; Canidae.